RNAcentral lists this ribosomal RNA (497 nucleotides) under uncultured bacterium. Its description in RNAcentral is "partial 16S ribosomal RNA". It matches the Rfam family "Bacterial small subunit ribosomal RNA", at positions 28 to 507 of the family's 1533-position model. The record is from RNAcentral.
GAUGAACGCUGGCGGCGUGCCUAAUACAUGCAAGUCGAGCGAACAGACGAGGAGCUUGCUCCUCUGACGUUAGCGGCGGACGGGUGAGUAACACGUGGAUAACCUACCUAUAAGACUGGGAUAACUUCGGGAAACCGGAGCUAAUACCGGAUAAUAUAUUGAACCGCAUGGUUCAAUAGUUAAAGACGGUUUUGCUGUCACUUAUAGAUGGAUCCGCGCCGCAUUAGCUAGUUGGUAAGGUAACGGCUUACCAAGGCAACGAUGCGUAGCCGACCUGAGAGGGUGAUCGGCCACACUGGAACUGAGACACGGUCCAGACUCCUACGGGAGGCAGCAGUAGGGAAUCUUCCGCAAUGGGCGAAAGCCUGACGGAGCAACGCCGCGUGAGUGAUGAAGGGCUUCGGAUCGUAAAACUCUGUUAUUAGGGAAGAACAAAUGUGUAAGUAACUAUGCACGUCUUGACGGUACCUAAUCAGAAAGCCACGGCUAACUACGUG